Myotis lucifugus (little brown bat) is the source of this 537-nucleotide non-coding RNA. NCBI's taxonomy places the organism in Eukaryota, Metazoa, Chordata, Mammalia, Chiroptera, Vespertilionidae. The record is from the annotation of a RefSeq genome assembly.
AUGGGACUCAGGCUUCUCUGUGGUGUGGCCUUUUGUUUCCUGGGAGUAGGUCUCAUGGAUGCAGAAGUAACCCAAGUCCCAAGAUAUCUGAUCAAAAGAAAGGGAGAGAAAGUGUUGAUGGAAUGUUUACAGGAUAUGGACCAUGAAAGAAUGUUCUGGUAUCGACAAGACUCAGCUCUGGGGCUGCAGCUGCUCCACUUCUCAUAUGGGGUUGAGAAUUAUGAGAAAGGAGAUUUCCCUGAUGGGUACAGUGUCUCUAGGAAGAAGAAGAAGGGCUUCUCCCUGAUCCUGGGGACUGCCAGCACCAACCAGACAUCUGUGUACCUCUGUGCCAGCAGUAGAUCCACAGCGCUGCACAACCACAUCCUCUCUGCACAAAAAAGGCAGGUGCCAGAGGGAAGUGACCCUAACUCAGGGCUGAGUUACACCGGCUACUUUGAACAAAGGUGGCCACUCAGUGGAACCAAGCCCAUGGACGUACAAUUUGGUCUGGAAAGCACAGGAUAUCUUUUAUGCCCCAUGCACCAUCGUUUCUGA